RNAcentral lists this ribosomal RNA (499 nucleotides) under uncultured bacterium. RNAcentral describes it as "partial 16S ribosomal RNA". It matches the Rfam family "Bacterial small subunit ribosomal RNA", at positions 28 to 507 of the family's 1533-position model. The record is from RNAcentral.
GACGAACGCUGGCGGCGUGCCUAAUACAUGCAAGUCGAGCGAAGUUUUUCUGGUGCUUGCACUAGAAAAACUUAGCGGCGAACGGGUGAGUAACACGUAAAGAACCUGCCUCAUAGACUGGGACAACUAUUGGAAACGAUAGCUAAUACCGGAUAACAGUAUUUCUCGCAUGAGAGAUAUUUAAAAGUUGGUUAUGCUAACACUAUGAGAUGGCUUUGCGGUGCAUUAGCUAGUUGGUGGGGUAAAGGCCCACCAAGGCGACGAUGCAUAGCCGACCUGAGAGGGUGAUCGGCCACACGGGGACUGAGACACGGCCCAGACUCCAACGGGAGGCAGCAGUAGGGAAUCUUCCGCAAUGGGCGAAAGCCUGACGGAGCAACGCCGCGUGAGUGAAGAAGGAUUUCGGUUCGUAAAGCUCUGUUGUUAGGGAAGAAUGGAUAUGUAGUAACUAUACAUGUAAGAGACGGUACCUAACCAGAAAGCCACGGCUAACUACGUG